This 903-nucleotide long non-coding RNA is filed under the name Marmota monax (woodchuck). Lineage: Eukaryota; Metazoa; Chordata; Mammalia; Rodentia; Sciuridae. The record is from RNAcentral.
UAUAACAUAGGUUAUACAGGAUAUGUAUAACUGCCAUUCAAAUCUCAUCACAGUACAAGCAUUAACUCAUUAAUCCUCAUCCACCUAAGAGGUGGCAUGAUUAUUAUUCUCACUUUAGACACAAGAAACUGAAGCACAGAGUAGUUAGGUAACUUGCCCAGGAUCGCAGCCAGAAGGGGCCAGACAGAGCUGGGAUGUGAAUCCCUGAAUCCAUCUCUAGUCCCUCUCCCAAACCUCUGUGCUUUCUGCCCCUGCCCUAUGCAGCCAGGUCCAGUGGAGGUAUGAUACCCAGACUGCUAGCCUCAACCAACACCUGAAACCAUUCGGGGAACCUGGGGCUGGAGGUUGGCAUAAGUCCUAGGGUGAGGGAGAGAGAGUCAGGGUUAUUGCUUCCUUGCAAUUUCCCCAGGGUUGGGCAUAGGAAACAGCAGAAACCUCACCACAGAGCCCCUGGGGUGACUGUUCAAUGUCCACCAAGCUGUGAGGCCAGCACAAGUUGGCCUUAGUGUACGACCCUCACUCCCAUUUCUUCCCCUCUACUCACCCCCCUUUUUUUCUUUGAUUAUGAUGUGGAAGGCUCCGUCAUUCACCAAUUCAUUCAGCAAACAUGUAACGGGCAUCUGCCAUGACAGAACUGUCUCCCCACUCAGAAGGCAAAGCCCUGUUAACCAUUAUAGUGUGAUGAGAGAAGUAAAUAUGUAUUACCCUAGUGAAAUAAUAUAUCGACCUGUUCACAGAUCUCGCCCUGUAUACACACACACACACACACACACACACACAUCUGAGUUGUUGAGCUUUCCCCUGAGCCAGAGAGAGACUUCUUGCUAACACUCGAGAAAGGCUUUGUCUUCACUGGAUAAAAAUUGUGACCAAUGAUUUUCUCCUGAAUUCAAUAACAUAAUG